RNAcentral lists this microRNA (21 nucleotides) under Arabidopsis thaliana (thale cress). Its description in RNAcentral is "ath-miR1886.1". The record is from miRBase by way of RNAcentral. Lineage: Eukaryota; Viridiplantae; Streptophyta; Magnoliopsida; Brassicales; Brassicaceae.
UGAGAGAAGUGAGAUGAAAUC